GCGCUCGCAGAGUAUACCAGUUUACUGGUAUACGAAGCGAAGACAAUCACAACGGACCCAAUCAACCCCGGACUAGGGAAGAGACGGCGAGGGAAAAUCGAAUGGAAGUGCUGGAGUACACGAGCGGCGGACGGCUGAGUAACGCGUAGGAACGUACCCCAAACUGAGGGAUAAGCACCAGAAAUGGUGUCUAAUACCGCAUGUGCUCUAAGGAGUAAAGCUUCGGCGGUUUGGGAACGGCCUGCGUACGAUUAGAUUGUUGGUGAGGUAAUGGCUCACCAAGUCGACGAUCGUUAGCUGGUCUGAGAGGAUGAUCAGCCAGACUGGGACUGAGAACGGCCCAGACUCCUACGGGAGGCAGCAGUAGGGAAUUUUCCACAAUGGACGAAAGUCUGAUGGAGCAACGCCGCGUGCAGGAUGAAUGCCUUCGGGUUGUAAACUGCUUUUAUCUGUGACGAAUAUGACGGUAGCAGAUGAAUAAGGAUCGGCUAACUCCGUG
This 499-nucleotide ribosomal RNA is filed under the name uncultured bacterium. RNAcentral describes it as "bacterial SSU rRNA". It matches the Rfam family "Bacterial small subunit ribosomal RNA", at positions 64 to 507 of the family's 1533-position model. The record is from RNAcentral.